UACGUAGGGUGCAAGCGUUAAUCGGAAUUACUGGGCGUAAAGCGUGCGCAGGCGGUUUUGUAAGUCUGACGUGAAAUCCCCGGGCUCAACCUGGGAAUUGCGUUGGAGACUGCAAGGCUAGAAUCUGGCAGAGGGGGGUAGAAUUCCACGUGUAGCAGUGAAAUGCGUAGAGAUGUGGAGGAACACCGAUGGCGAAGGCAGCCCCCUGGGUCAAGAUUGACGCUCAUGCACGAAAGCGUGGGGAACAAACAGG
This 253-nucleotide ribosomal RNA is filed under the name uncultured bacterium. RNAcentral's name for it is "partial 16S ribosomal RNA". It matches the Rfam family "Bacterial small subunit ribosomal RNA", at positions 524 to 776 of the family's 1533-position model. The record is from RNAcentral.